UACGGAGGGGGCAAGCGUUAUCCGGAUUCACUGGGUUUAAAGGGUGCGUAGGUGGGUUGGUAAGUCAGUGGUGAAAUCUCCGGGCUUAACUCGGAAACUGCCGUUGAUACUAUCAUUCUUGAAUCUCGUGGAGGUAAGCGGAAUAUGUCAUGUAGCGGUGAAAUGCUUAGAUAUGACAUAGAACACCAAUUGCGAAGGCAGCUCACUGCGGGAUUAUUGACACUGAGGCACGAAAGCGUGGGGAUCAAACAGG
RNAcentral lists this ribosomal RNA (253 nucleotides) under uncultured bacterium. RNAcentral's name for it is "partial 16S ribosomal RNA". It matches the Rfam family "Bacterial small subunit ribosomal RNA", at positions 524 to 776 of the family's 1533-position model. The record is from RNAcentral.